AGUGAACGCUGGCGGUAGGCCUAACACAUGCAAGUCGAACGGCAGCACAGUAAGAGCUUGCUCUUACGGGUGGCGAGUGGCGGACGGGUGAGGAAUACAUCGGAAUCUACUUUUUCGUGGGGGAUAACGUCGGGAAACUUACGCUAAUACCGCAUACGACCUACGGGUGAAAGCAGGGGAUCUUCGGACCUUGCGCGAUUGAAUGAGCCGAUGUCGGAUUAGCUAGUUGGCGGGGUAAAGGCCCACCAAGGCGACGAUCCGUAGCUGGUCUGAGAGGAAGGUCAGCCACCUGGGAUCUGAGAAAGAGCCCCGACUCCUACGGGAGGCAGCAGUGGGGAAUAUUGGACAAUGGGGGCAAGCCUGAUCCAGCAAUACCGCGUGGGUGAAGAAGGCCUUCGGGUGGUAAAGCCCUUUUGUUGUGAAAGAAAAGCAGCAGGUUAAUACGCCGCCGUUCUGACGGUACCCAAAGAAUAAGCACCGGCUAACUUCGUG
This 492-nucleotide ribosomal RNA is filed under the name uncultured bacterium. Its description in RNAcentral is "partial 16S ribosomal RNA". It matches the Rfam family "Bacterial small subunit ribosomal RNA", at positions 29 to 507 of the family's 1533-position model. The record is from RNAcentral.